GACGAACGCUGGCGGCGUGCCUAAUACAUGCCAGUUGAGCGCUGAAGGUUGGUACUUGUACCGACUGGAUGAGCAGCGCACGGGUGAGUAACGCGUGGGGAAUCUGCCUUUGAGCGGGGGACAACAUUUGGAAACGAAUGCUAAUACCGCAUAAAAACUUUAAACACAAGUUUUAAGUUUUAAAGAUGCAAUUGCAUCACUUAAAGAUGAUCCCGCGUUGUAUUAGCUAGUUGGUGAGGUAAAGGCUCACCAAGGCGAUGAUACCUAGCCGACCUGAGAGGGUGAUCGGCCACAUUGGGACUGAGACACGGCCCAAACUCCUACCGGAGGCAGCAGUAGGGAAACUUCGGCAAUGGACGAAAGUCUGAACGAGCCACGCCGCGUGAGUGAAGAAGGUUUUCGGAUCGUAAAACUCUGUUGGUAGAGAAGAACGUUGGUGAGAGUGGAAAGCUCAUCAAGUGACGGUAACUACACAGAAAGGGACGGCUAACUACGUG
Molecule: ribosomal RNA, 497 nt
Filed under: uncultured bacterium
Lineage: Bacteria
Description: partial 16S ribosomal RNA
Rfam family: Bacterial small subunit ribosomal RNA
Source: RNAcentral